Oncorhynchus tshawytscha (Chinook salmon) is the source of this 3104-nucleotide long non-coding RNA. The record is from Ensembl. NCBI's taxonomy places the organism in Eukaryota, Metazoa, Chordata, Actinopteri, Salmoniformes, Salmonidae.
GUGACUAUAAAUUACAUUGUGUUGUGUUCCAUGAUGCAAGAAGCCACUUAAAACUUAACAAAAUAAAAAAGAUUAUUAUCAUACAGAGAAUUAGACAAUGGAUUAUGUGCAUAUUCAAGCCUGUCUCAAAAUACAACAAUUAAGACAAACUGUUUAAAAAAAAAAAACCUGUCUGGCUUUCCAAAGACCGCUUGAAAUGCAGCCUACACGUUUAUAUACGAACAUCAACAAAUGUGCACAAGCAGUUCGGGGCCCGGGCUCAAUGUGUGGCGGAGUCCAACGCGUUUAACCAGAACCCUUCCCGUCUCCUUCAAGGUCAGCCAAGUUAAGGUAAACAUCGAAGGUGUCAACGAAAGUGAAUCUUCAUCGAACCUAACCUACAUGGAUAAAAAAUAUAAACCAUGGAAGUGAGACUGUCAUUAUGCAUAAUUACGCUCUGUACAUUGCAAUGGAAGCAAAGUGUGAUUUCAUUCACUGAGGAAAACAUACAGCAAAUUAGGCGACAGUGGUGCAUAGUUCUAGUUCUCCUGCAGAACAUUCCCAUGCCGUCUGAAGAAGAGAGGUUGAAAGAUGGAAAAAGACAGCAAAAAACAAAACACACUACAGGAAGGAGGAACCAAUGUUUAAAGACUUAACCCCCCCACCUCUUCAAUAUAUUUCAGGAUGAUGUAGAAGACACCCCCCACAAGAUGUCACAUCCGCAUCCAGCUCUGCAGGAUCAGACGAUACUGAAAACAAACUGCAUGGUGAACUGGGGAGCAGAUGUUCUUCUAAGGGACACCCUAGAGGCAGCAAGGUGGUUGAACUCCAAAUAUUUAAAUGCACUGUUUCCCUCCCUAGAAAAUGGCCUUCUUUGCCUCUUUUGAGGAGCAGGAGUGAAUGGUUGGCUGUGUUUUGCUACCACCAGAAACUUUGAAGAUUACCCAUCAUUUAGUUUUUCUAAGGACCCAGAAAACGAAGGCGGCGGGAGAACCUAUUCAAUUAAGUAAAUAUGUUUUGAAAAAUUAUCAUUAUAGAUAACUAUAGGAACUCAGUGUUCAGGCUAACAAAUGAGCUUCUAAUGUAAUGUUUGCUAGCUAACUUAGUAAAUUAAAUAUCACCAGCUAGCUAACUUCAUAUAGAUAUUUGGCUAUCAAUCUCGAUGUAUCGUUGUAACUCGAAAAUGCAUGUGUAGUUAGCUAACAGCCAUGGAAGAGGGUGGAUUAGCUAGCAGUUCCAGCUGUCAAAGAAGGGAGAGCUAUGAAACUCUGUCUGCAGAUUAAUAUGUCCCAAUGAAUGUCGCAAGAGAAUAAGGGUACGGCCUUGUGUAACGUAUAACUUUAAACCGUCCCCUCGUCCAUACCCGGGCGUGAACCAGGGACCCUCUGCACACAACAGUCACCAACGUAGCAUCUUUACCCAUCACUCCACAAAAGCCGUGGCCCUUGCAGAGCAAGGGGAACCACUACUUCAAGGUCUCAGAGCAAGUGACGUCACCGAUUGAAACGCUAUUAGGCGCGCACCACCGCUAACUAGCUAGCCGUUUCACAUCCGUUACACUUGUAUACCAUGGGUUCGACACAGUGUAUACAAAACAUUGAGGACACCUGCUCUUUCCAUGACAGACUGACCUGGUGAAUCCAGGUGAAAGCUAUGAUCCCUUUUUGAUGUCACUUGUUAAAUCUACUUCAAUCAGUGUAGAUAAAGGGGAGGAAACAGGUUAAAGAAGGAUUUGGUCAUAGGUGCCAGGCGCACCAGUUUGUGUCAAGCACUGCAAUGCUGCUGGGUUUUUCACGCUCAACAGUUUCCCGUGUUAAUCAAUAAUCGUCCACCACCCUAGGAACAUCCAGCCAACUUGUCACAGCUGUGGGAAGCAUCGGCUGUGGGUGCAACUCAAUAUUAGGAAGGUGUUUAUGUUUAGUAUACUCAGUGUAUGUGUACUUAUGUUAGCAGAUUGUGUAAGCAAAAAAUACAGUAACACACCAUGUGUAAACCUAUUAUGACUGGAGCAGACCAGCCCUGUUGGCUUCGUGUGCAGGUUUCGGUUCCAGCCCAGCACUAACAACCCGUAUUCAAUUUAUCAAACCUAAUUAGUUGAUCAUUUAAGUGUGCUAUUGCUGGGCUGGAAUAUAAAUCUGCUCACUCAGUGGAGCAAGGUUGGCCACCGUUGGUAUGCACUUUUUUUUUCUUCACCUGAAAUGAUGCUUUAGUAAUAAUAGCCAACUUGUUACUAAGAUUUCUAACCAUUACAUAUGACUUAGCUUACUUGUACACUUUGAAAUGACAAAUAGGGUUGAUUCUUUGAAGUGAAGGGUUUAAACUUGUUUUAAUUUGUUAACUUAACUAUUAUUCAAGAUGAACUAGUGUCAAUGUUGAUUAAUCACAGAUCACAAUUGUGCAAUAAAGAUAGGAAGGGAAUCUGUCUCUAAUUUGUCUCCGUUUCUGUGUUGUGUUCUCAAAUGAACACUACCUUUUUUUCAGUUGCAAACUUUCCAAUUAGUUUUAUUUGAUUUUCACUUGUUUUUUCAGGUUAUCAGUCAUGUGAUGCCAUUUUGCAGCUGAUAAUGGCAUGCAAUGCCAAUGCAGCCAUAGGCCUACAGCAGUGGUUCCCACUUCAGAUCUUGAGUAUGCCCAACAGCACACCUUUUGCUUCUCGCCCCGGACAAACAUUCAACUCAUUGAGGGCCUGAUGAUUAGAUGAAUCAGGUGUGCUUGUUUGGGCUACAAUAAAAACGUGUACUGUUGGCGGUAUUUGAGGACCAGAGUUGGGAACCACUGGCCUACAGUAUGAUGGCAUUUGCCUUAUGGGCAUUUGCAAUGCACCUCUUGACAUUCAUUAUACAUCUGAAGCAGAGAAUGGCUUAAUUUACACAUUGUUUACAUGUUGUCAUGCUAUAUCAAGGUAAGAUUAAAUAAAGACAAUCAAGAGCCCUGAUGGUAUAGGUGACCUGAAGAAGUGAUAUUCUAAAAUCAAACAGCAACAUUGUGUGAAAACCUUGUGAAGACUUACAGAAAAUGUUUGACCUCUGUCAUUGCCAACAAAGGGUAUAUAACAAAGUAUUGAGAAACUUUUAUUGACCAAUUACUUAUUUUCCACCAUAAUUUACAAAUAAAUUCAUUAAAAA